This 521-nucleotide ribosomal RNA is filed under the name uncultured bacterium. RNAcentral's name for it is "partial 16S ribosomal RNA". It matches the Rfam family "Bacterial small subunit ribosomal RNA", at positions 29 to 523 of the family's 1533-position model. The record is from RNAcentral.
AAUGAACGCUGGCGGCGUGCUUAACACAUGCAAGUCGUACGAGAAACCCCGGCUUGCCGGGGGAGUAAAGUGGCGCACGGGUGAGUAACGCGUGGGUAAUCUACCCUCGAAUUGGGGAUAACACACCGAAAGGUGUGCUAAUACCGAAUAAGACCACGACCUCCACGGGGGUUGCGGUCAAAGAUGGCCUCUGCUUGCAAGCUGUCGUUUGAGGAUGAGCCCGCGUACCAUUAGCUUGUUGGUGGGGUAAUGGCCUACCAAGGCAACGAUGGUUAGCUGGUCUGGGAGGAUGGCCAGCCACACUGGAACUGGAACACGGUCCAGACUCCUACGGGAGGCAGCAGUGAGGAAUUUUGCGCAAUAGGGGAAACCCUGACGCAGCAACGCCGCGUGAGUGAAGAAGGCCUUCGGGUUGUAAAGCUCUGUCAAGUGGGAAGAACCUUUUUCGGCCGAAUACGCCGAGAAACUGACGGUACCGCUGAAGGAAGCACCGGCUAACUCCGUGCCAGCCGCCGCGGUAA